GACGAACGCUGGCGGCGUGCUUAACACAUGCAAGUCGAACGGUGAAGCGCCUUCCUUUUUGGUGGGUGUGGAUGAGUGGCGAACGGGUGAGUAACACGUGAGUAACCUGCCCCCUUCUUCUGGAUAACCGCAUGAAAGUGUGGCUAAUACGGGAUAUUCUGGGUCUGUCGCAUGAUGGGUCUGGGAAAGAUAUUGUUUCGGUGGGGGAUGGGCUCGCGGCCUAUCAGCUUGUUGGUGGGGUGAUGGCCUACCAAGGCGGUGACGGGUAGCCGGCCUGAGAGGGUGUACGGUCACACUGGGACUGAGACACGGCCCAGACUCCUACGGGAGGCAGCAGUGGGGAAUAUUGCACAAUGGGCGCAAGCCUGAUGCAGCGACGCCGCGUGAGGGAUGGAGGCCUUCGGGUUGUGAACCUCUUUCGCCAGUGAAGCAGGCCUGCCUCGUUUGUGGGUGGGUUGACGGUAGCUGGAUAAGAAGCGCCGGCUAACUACGUG
This 494-nucleotide ribosomal RNA is filed under the name uncultured bacterium. Its description in RNAcentral is "partial 16S ribosomal RNA". It matches the Rfam family "Bacterial small subunit ribosomal RNA", at positions 28 to 507 of the family's 1533-position model. The record is from RNAcentral.